CCCAGUGUUUCACCACUGGUAUCUUAGAAAGGCAUGCGUGUAUGGUGAAUCCAUGCAGGUGUGAAGCCCUUUCGACAAUGUACCGAAGGCUGGAAACAGUCGGGGUGGAAAUCGCGAGAUGGAUACCCUCCUGAUAGUCUGUCUCGGGUGAGGGC
Molecule: non-coding RNA, 155 nt
Organism: Candidatus Desantisbacteria bacterium CG2_30_40_21
Lineage: Bacteria; Candidatus Desantisiibacteriota
Source: Rfam